GAUGAACGCUGGCGGCGUGCUUAACACAUGCAAGUCGAGCGAAGCAAUUUAAGUGAAGUUUUCGGAUGGAUCUUAGAUUGACUGAGCGGCGGACGGGUGAGUAACGCGUGGAUAACCUGCCUCACACAGGGGGAUAACAGUUAGAAAUGACUGCUAAUACCGCAUAAGCGCACGGUACCGCAUGGUACAGUGUGAAAAACUCCGGUGGUGUGAGAUGGAUCCGCGUCUGAUUAGGUAGUUGGUGAGGUAACGGCCCACCAAGCCGACGAUCAGUAGCCGACCUGAGAGGGUGACCGGCCACAUUGGGACUGAGACACGGCCCAAACUCCUACGGGAGGCAGCAGUGGGGAAUAUUGCACAAUGGGCGAAAGCCUGAUGCAGCAACGCCGCGUGAGUGAAGAAGUAUCUCGGUAUGUAAAGCUCUAUCAGCAGGGAAGAAAAUGACG
This 446-nucleotide ribosomal RNA is filed under the name uncultured bacterium. RNAcentral describes it as "bacterial SSU rRNA". It matches the Rfam family "Bacterial small subunit ribosomal RNA", at positions 28 to 456 of the family's 1533-position model. The record is from RNAcentral.